GCAUAUCAAUAAGCGGAGGAAAAGAAACUAACAAGGAUUCCCCUAGUAACUGCGAGUGAAGCGGGAAAAGCUCAAAUUUAAAAUCUGACAGUCUUUGGCUGUCCGAGUUGUAGUCUGGAGAAGCGUUUUCCGCGCUGGACCGUGUACAAGUCUCCUGGAACGGAGCGUCAUAGAGGGUGAGAAUCCCGUCUUUGACACGGACUACCAGUGCUUUGUGAUGCGCUCUCAAAGAGUCGAGUUGUUUGGGAAUGCAGCUCAAAAUGGGUGGUAAACUCCAUCUAAAGCUAAAUAUUGGCGAGAGACCGAUAGCGAACAAGUACCGUGAGGGAAAGAUGAAAAGCACUUUGGAAAGAGAGUUAAACAGUACGUGAAAUUGCUGAAAGGGAAACGCUUGAAGUCAGUCGCGUUUGCUAGGACUCAGCCUUGCCUCGGCUUGGUGCAUUUCCUAGUAGACGGGCCAGCAUCAUUUUUGGCUGCGGGAAAAAGGUCAGAGGAAUGUGGCACCUUCGGGUGUGUUAUAGCCUCUGGCUGUAUACCGUGGCUGGGAGUGAGGAACUCAGCACGCCUUUAUGGCGGGGCUUCGGCCACCUUCGUGCUUAGGAUGCUGGCGUAAUGGCUUUAAACGACCCGUCUUGAAACACGGACC
Molecule: ribosomal RNA, 646 nt
Filed under: Phanerochaete sp. JCM 28409
Lineage: Eukaryota; Fungi; Basidiomycota; Agaricomycetes; Polyporales; Phanerochaetaceae
Description: eukaryotic LSU rRNA
Rfam family: Eukaryotic large subunit ribosomal RNA
Source: RNAcentral